UAGGGAAUCUUCGGCAAUGGACGCAAGUCUGACCGAGCAACGCCGCGUGAGUGAAGACGGUUUUCGGAUCGUAAAGCUCUGUUGUAGGGGAAGAACGUGUGUAAGAGUGGAAAGCUUACACAGUGACGGUACCCUACCAGAAAGGGACGGCUAACUACGUGCCAGCAGCCGCGGUAAUACGUAGGUCCCGAGCGUUGUCCGGAUUUAUUGGGCGUAAAGGGAGCGCAGGCGGUUUAGUAAGUCUGAAGUUAAAGGCAUUGGCUCAACCAAUGUAUGCUUUGGAAACUGUUAGACUUGAGUGCAGAAGGGGAGAGUGGAAUUCCAUGUGUAGCGGUGAAAUGCGUAGAUAUAUGGAGGAACACCGGUGGCGAAAGCGGCUCUCUGGUCUGUCACUGACGCUGAGGCUCGAAAGCGUGGGUAGCGAACAGGAUUAGAUACCCUGGUAGUCCACGCCGUAAACGCUGAGUGCUAGGUGUUAGGUCCUUUCCGGGACUUAGUGCCGACGCUAACGCAUUAAGCACUCCGCCUGGGGAGUACGACCGCAAGGUU
RNAcentral lists this ribosomal RNA (549 nucleotides) under uncultured bacterium. Its description in RNAcentral is "bacterial SSU rRNA". It matches the Rfam family "Bacterial small subunit ribosomal RNA", at positions 355 to 895 of the family's 1533-position model. The record is from RNAcentral.